RNAcentral lists this ribosomal RNA (245 nucleotides) under uncultured Gemmata sp. RNAcentral describes it as "partial 16S ribosomal RNA". It matches the Rfam family "Bacterial small subunit ribosomal RNA", at positions 524 to 769 of the family's 1533-position model. The record is from RNAcentral. Lineage: Bacteria; Pseudomonadati; Planctomycetota; Planctomycetia; Gemmatales; Gemmataceae.
GACGAACCGUGCAAACGUUAUUCGGAAUCACUGGGCUUAAGGGCGCGUAGGCGGCUUGUCAAGUCAGGGGUGGAAUCUUUCGGCUUAACCGGAAAAGUGCCUCUGAUACUGGCAGGCUCGAGGGAGGCAGGGGCAUGUGGAACUUCCGGUGGAGCGGUGAAAUGCGUUGAUAUCGGAAGGAACGCCGGUGGCGAAAGCGACGUACUGGACCUCUUCUGACGCUGAGGCGCGAAAGCUAGGGGAGC